Molecule: RNA transcript, 1919 nt
Organism: Drosophila nasuta
Lineage: Eukaryota; Metazoa; Arthropoda; Insecta; Diptera; Drosophilidae
Exons: 3
Source: RefSeq, a predicted model, not a curated record
UUUUUGUUAGCUAACUUUUGUCUAUUAAAUGGUAUAUUUACUGCACUUUGUGAUAAAACCGUAAGCUGAAAAAGUGUUGAAAACUAUACUGACGAACUUUGGGAAGCAAUUUUGCAAUAAAAUUCGAAUUCACACAAGCUUCAACUAUUCUUUCAGCACCUCGGCGUAAGUCGAAUAAUAAUUGAAAAUUUUUCCACCUAACUGAAAAUACAUUUUUGUUGGCUGUAUAAAACAAUAGCGCAUCGUUUCAGGUAGUGUUACAAAAUGUAAAUAUAUUAAACUAGAGACUAUAUACAUCAAAUGGAGCGAUGGCUGGCUGGCUACUGAGAUGGCUGGAAGCCACGCGCAGCUCAGAUAUGGGAGAGAGAGGCUGAGUCCUUCGAAUGCCUCAACUGGCAAUCCGAAUUCAGAAGCCAAACUCAAAUCAAAUGUCUGAAAUGCCAAUUAACCAAUAAAUGUGUCUGACCAAAGGCCCAUAAAGGUUUAAGGCAGCCUGUUGGCCUGUAAAUUCAUUGGCAGCCUGGAAUUCAGGCUGCUCCAAGCUCCAGCUCCUCCGCUCCAGCUUUUGCUUCUGCUGCUGCUCGUGUUCGUGCUCCGCUAAGACCCGCAACUCGCAAUCAAAUCGCAAUGCUAAGAAUUUUCUAGAAAAUCAACACACAGGCUGUGUGUUAGCUUGCGGUUGUCCAAAUCAAAAUUGAAGUCAGCAUUGAAAUCAAAGCGUGUUAAACAACAAACGAAUAUUUUGCAAGAAAUGGUUCAACCAAACAAAACAAAAAUACGAGAAAAAAAAGAUCGUAGCAUGCUUUGGCGGGCACUGGCCGCAGAAAAUGUAAAAUAUUUUCAAUUAAUUUGACGCCGACCUUCAUUUCAAUUUCUAAUAUUAGAAAAUUUGACAGUGCUGCUGCUUCGUCUGUCUUUCAGACGGAGACAGAGACGGAGACGGAGACGGACACCGAGACGGAGUGGAAGAGGAAGGCGGAGACGAAGGGCAGACGGACGUGCAGCAAGCACACUUUCAUUUUGAUUGCCCGUCUAAGUCCCCAACAUCUUCCACUUCAACGGGCUUCCACGCGACCCACCAAUAUUUUCAACCUGUGCCCAGCCCUUUUUCUGGCCUUCAUUUAAUUUGUCUGCGUUGUUUGUGCAACACUUCAGUGCGACGAACUGAAGCUGAUGCUGAUGCUGAAUCUGAAGCUGGAAAUGGAGCUGGAGCUGGAGCGUCGACCAAAGCAGGAGACGUCGACGUCGCCGACUCUUUAUAGCUCCUUUUCGAUUGCCUUGCCUGUCAACACUGGUCAUCGAUGAAAACAACGCUUUGAAAAUGUGCGAGAGUGAACGACCUACAUAAAUAUACAUACGUUCACAUGUACAUGUAUGUAGUUGAAAGUGAAAUUUUUCCACAGUACCAGACAGCACACCAAUACAUACAUACAUGUACAUGCGCCGAAGUUGGAGGAAUUCGUUGACAAGGGACUAUGAUAUCAUUGACAUUCAUUGGAUUUGACGGCCGUUUGCACCUGAUGCCAACACAAACACACAACGAGAGAUACCCGAGAAGUGUUUUUUUGUUGGGGGUCAUAUUCAAAUGCAGUAAGUCUAGCGAACUCGAAAGCCAUUUAACGAAUUGCGAAGCCAAGAAAACAUAUUUUACCCGAACCGCCCCAUUCAAUUCAAAAAUAUAAAUGAUAAUAGGAUUGGCGGUGGUUCACCCUAAAAUUUGAUAUGCAAACAAAAAUUCGAUACGCUGAGAUUGUUAAUAAGCUGAAUAUGAAUUUCAAUUAAAUUUGGGCUAAGUUGUCUCGGAACUUAAAAACCUGCAAUGGAAGAGUUUUUCUUAAGCAUAUCUGAUUCAAAUGUAUACUAUAUUUUAUAGUUAUUUAACAGUAUUCAUCAUCCUUGAAUAAAAUCUUUACUAUCUC